Molecule: long non-coding RNA, 240 nt
Organism: Hibiscus syriacus
Lineage: Eukaryota; Viridiplantae; Streptophyta; Magnoliopsida; Malvales; Malvaceae
Exons: 3
Source: RefSeq, a predicted model, not a curated record
UUAUGCAAAGAACACAAUCACCUUUACGCCCAAGUUUGUCAACGAUAUCCAAAAACGCGGUGGUACAAUCCUUGGGACAUCAAGAGGGGGUCAUGUCAAAUCCAAGAUUGUUGACAGCAUUCAGGAUCGUGGAAUCAAUCAGGUUUAUAUAAUUGGAGGUGACGGGACGCAAAGAGGAGCAGCAGUAAUUUUUUAGGAAAUUAGGCGACGUGGCCUCAAAGUAGCUGUUGCUGGAAUUCC